GGACAGAGUCUCAGGUUAAGACAAGCGGAGUAUAAAAAGCAGAGCAAGGUGAUUUUUUUUACUGACAUGGCAGAUUGGUGGAGUAUUUGUGGUAAGAUUUUGAAGCUUGUUCGAUCCCUUGUGGCAAUUUGCACAACUUGCUCUUGCUCGUCAUUAGCAGCGUAUUACGUAAGUCGCGUCAAUUCGUCGAUGCUAAUUACAGGACCAUGCAUGAACUGGAGGGGAGUACAUACUGUAUAUCACACCUAGCUAUACAGAGGAGAUGGACUCGCUAGUCCGUGCUCGGUAGUAGUAGUUCUAAUCACGGACUCUAAUUAAUCCCGCAUUCAGACAACGCCUAUCGAAGGUUCGGGACAAGGACGGUUGCUCUCCUCCUGCCGCUGCCGCCGCCGCCGCCGCUGCUGCUGUGGGCGCUGGGCGAGCCAGCGGGGACCUGGGUGUCGUCGGCAUCGGAGUCCUCCUCAGCGAUGGGGUCGAGGCAGCCCGCGGCAGCACGACGGAGCCGCAGCCGCUGCAGCCGCAUGACUUGAAGGGUCCCCGGCGGGGCCACCUCGUCCGGCGCGAAGCGGACGACGGCGCAGGUUCUCGCGGCGGAGGCCAUGGAUCGGCAAUGGGUGGUAUCUCGUAGCUUGGAUCAAGCGCUUGCUUGUUUGCUCACUGUGUUUGUGCGCUGGGUGGCG
RNAcentral lists this ribosomal RNA (680 nucleotides) under Triticum aestivum (bread wheat). Its description in RNAcentral is "partial small subunit ribosomal RNA". Lineage: Eukaryota; Viridiplantae; Streptophyta; Magnoliopsida; Poales; Poaceae. The record is from RNAcentral.